GAGUUUGAUCAUGGCUCAGAUUGAACGCUGGCGGCAUGCCUUACACAUGCAAGUCGAACGGCAGCACGGGAGCUUGCUCCUGGUGGCGAGUGGCGAACGGGUGAGUAAUGCAUCGGAACGUAUCCUGGAGUGGGGGAUAACGUAGCGAAAGUUACGCUAGUACCGCAUAUUCUGUGAGCAGGAAAGCGGGGGACCUUCGGGCCUCGCGCUCUUGGAGCGGCCGAUGUCGGAUUAGCUAGUUGGUGAGGUAAAGGCUCACCAAGGCGACGAUCCGUAGCAGGUCUGAGAGGAUGAUCUGCCACACUGGAACUGAGACACGGUCCAGACUCCUACGGGAGGCAGCAGUGGGGAAUUUUGGACAAUGGGGGCAACCCUGAUCCAGCCAUGCCGCGUGAGUGAAGAAGGCCUCGGUUGUAAGAC
RNAcentral lists this ribosomal RNA (420 nucleotides) under bacterium enrichment culture clone ALO1_GLFRUDD03F11FJ. Its description in RNAcentral is "bacterial SSU rRNA". It matches the Rfam family "Bacterial small subunit ribosomal RNA", at positions 9 to 431 of the family's 1533-position model. The record is from RNAcentral.